RNAcentral lists this ribosomal RNA (497 nucleotides) under uncultured bacterium. RNAcentral's name for it is "partial 16S ribosomal RNA". It matches the Rfam family "Bacterial small subunit ribosomal RNA", at positions 28 to 507 of the family's 1533-position model. The record is from RNAcentral.
GAUGAACGCUGGCGGCGUGCCUAAUACAUGCAAGUCGAGCGAACAGACGAGGAGCUUGCUCCUCUGACGUUAGCGGCGGACGGGUGAGUAACACGUGGAUAACCUACCUAUAAGACUGGGAUAACUUCGGGAAACCGGAGCUAAUACCGGAUAAUAUAUUGAACCGCAUGGUUCAAUAGUGAAAGACGGUUUUGCUGUCACUUAUAGAUUGAUCCGCGCCGCAUUAGCUAGUUGGUAAGGUAACGGCUUACCAAGGCAACGAUGCGUAGCCGACCUGAGAGGGUGAUCGGCCACACUGGAACUGAGACACGGUCCAGACUCCUACGGGAGGCAGCAGUAGGGAAUCUUACGCAAUGGGCGAAAGCCUGACGGAGCAACGCCGCGUGAGUGAUGAAGGUCUUCGGAUCGUAAAACUCUGUUAUUAGGGAAGAACAAAUGUGUAAGUAACUAUGCACGUCUUGACGGUACCUAAUCAGAAAGCCACGGCUAACUACGUG